CCCUCUCACGUGCACUCUGGACCCCUCACACAGACACACUGCAUCCCCUCUCACAUGUACUCUGGACCCCUCACACAGACACACUGCAUCCCCUCUCACAUGCACUCUGCGCCCCUCACACAUGCACUCUGGACCCCUCACACAAACACACUGCAUCCCCUCUCACAUGCACUCUGGACCCCUCACACAGACACACUGCAUCCCCUCUCACAU
Non-coding RNA from Pelobates cultripes (western spadefoot toad), 213 nucleotides. The record is from the annotation of a GenBank genome assembly. Lineage: Eukaryota; Metazoa; Chordata; Amphibia; Anura; Pelobatidae.